Molecule: long non-coding RNA, 885 nt
Organism: Macaca mulatta (Rhesus monkey)
Lineage: Eukaryota; Metazoa; Chordata; Mammalia; Primates; Cercopithecidae
Source: RefSeq, a predicted model, not a curated record
AUUGCGCCACUGCCUUCCAGCCUGGCUGACAAAGCAAGGCCCUGUCUUAAAAAAGCAAGCAAACAAAAAACCUAGGCUUGUUCUAUUUUUCUGCUCUUUAUCCUUCUCAUCCUUAGGCAUAUCAUAUCUCUUGACUAUGGUAACUUCAAGCAUUACAUCAUCACACAACUGUUCGAGCCUGGAUGAAAGUGUGAACCAGCAUGGACCAGUAACAAACAGUUUGAAGACCAGGCUGAGUUCAUGACCACACUUGUUGACUCUGCUGACUUCACAAGCUGGCCCCAGCCUGCCUCACCUGCCCCUUGUCUGCUGCUCCUUUUGUUCACCUACAACAAGCUGUUCUCUGUUACCAGAAUAUGCCACAUAUUUUGUUUCACUUCUGGAAUUGACUUUAUAAUCUGUUCUUUCUUCUUGGAAUGCCCUCCUCUAGCUGGGGAAAAUUUUUUAGACCAGAUUAAAAGUCACCUUCCCUGUGAUGUUUUCUCAUGAAAAAAAUAUUUUUUUAAGAGACAGGGGUCUCACUACGUUACCUAGGCUGGUCUCAAACUCCUGGGCACAAGUGGUCCUCCCACCUCAGCUUCCCAAAAUACUAGGAUUACAGACAUGAGCCAUCACGCCCCAACCUCAUGAAUUUUAGUUAGGUUAUAGCAGUAUAGUAAAAGUCCCUAUGCAUUGAAUUAUUUGCUCCCUCAUCAGUGUUUUUUCUUUGAAUCCUAGGUACACUUGUUUUAUUGGAUUACAGUUUCUGGGUCAGUAUCCAGGAUAGACUGAAAGUUUCUUGAAGUGAUAAUUAUCUUAUUCAUCUUUAUAUCCCCUGUUCUUGGAACACAUAGUUUGUCCUGAAUAAAUACCUACUGAAUUGAAUCAACUCAACAAAUGAGAAAA